AUGAACGCUGGCGGCGUGCCUAAUACAUGCAAGUCGAGCGAACAGACGAGGAGCUUGCUCCUCUGACGUUAGCGGCGGACGGGUGAGUAACACGUGGAUAACCUACCUAUAAGACUGGGAUAACUUCGGGAAACCGGAGCUAAUACCGGAUAAUAUAUUGAACCGCAUGGUUCAAUAGUGAAAGACGGUUUUGCUGUCACUUAUAGAUGGAUCCGCGCCGCAUUAGCUAGUUGGUAAGGUAACGGCUUACCAAGGCAACGAUGCGUAGCCGACCUGAGAGGGUGAUCGGCCACACUGGAACUGAGACACGGUCCAGACUCCUACGGGAGGCAGCAGUAGGGAAUCUUUCGCAAUGGGCGAAAGCUUGACGGAGCAACGCCGCGUGAGUGAUGAAGGUCUUCGGAUCGUAAAACUCUGUUAUUAGGGAAGAACAAAUGUGUAAGUAACUAUGCACGUCUUGACGGUACCUAAUCAGAAAGCCACGGCUAACUACGUG
RNAcentral lists this ribosomal RNA (496 nucleotides) under uncultured bacterium. Its description in RNAcentral is "partial 16S ribosomal RNA". It matches the Rfam family "Bacterial small subunit ribosomal RNA", at positions 29 to 507 of the family's 1533-position model. The record is from RNAcentral.